ACCCGCUGAACUUAAGCAUAUCAAUAAGCGGAGGAAAAGAAACCAACAGGGAUUGCCCCAGUAACGGCGAGUGAAGCGGCAAGAGCUCAAAUUUGAAAUCUGGCCUCCCCCGGGGGCCCGAGUUGUAAUUUGCAGAGGAUGCUUCGGGUGCGGCCGCCGUCUAAGUUCCUUGGAACAGGACGUCAGAGAGGGUGAGAAUCCCGUCUUGGGCGGGCGGUCCGCGCCCGUGUGAAGCUCCUUCGACGAGUCGAGUUGUUUGGGAAUGCAGCUCUAAGCGGGUGGUAAAUUUCAUCUAAAGCUAAAUAUUGGCCGGAGACCGAUAGCGCACAAGUAGAGUGAUCGAAAGGUUAAAAGCACCUUGAAAAGGGAGUUAAACAGCACGUGAAAUUGUUGAAAGGGAAGCGCUUGCGGCCAGAUUCGGGGGCGGGGUUCAGCGGGUGCUCGUCGCCCGUGUAUUCCUCGUCUCCCGGGCCAGCAUCAGUUUCGACGGCCGGUCAAAGGCCCCCGGAAUGUGUCGUCUCUCGGGACGUCUUAUAGCCGGGGGUGCAAUG
RNAcentral lists this ribosomal RNA (551 nucleotides) under Trichophyton sp. Its description in RNAcentral is "eukaryotic LSU rRNA". It matches the Rfam family "Eukaryotic large subunit ribosomal RNA", at positions 23 to 575 of the family's 3401-position model. Lineage: Eukaryota; Fungi; Ascomycota; Eurotiomycetes; Onygenales; Arthrodermataceae. The record is from RNAcentral.